Propithecus coquereli (Coquerel's sifaka) is the source of this 302-nucleotide long non-coding RNA. RefSeq lists it as uncharacterized. The record is from RefSeq and is a predicted model, not a curated record. Lineage: Eukaryota; Metazoa; Chordata; Mammalia; Primates; Indriidae. The transcript is spliced from 3 exons.
UUAAGCCACUCAGUCGGUGGUAUUUUGUUGUGUGGCCUAAGCUGACUCAUACAGUGCUGAAUGAAUAAAUGAAUGAACGAACGAACAGAAAGCUGUCAUGAUGAUCCAAGGGAGAAGCUGGUGACCAGGGCAUAGAUGUCCAGCAAGGUGGCUGUUGGCAGUGACAUUGGGCAGGCCCGCCGGACAGUGGAGCAGCUGCGGAUGGAGGCAGGCAUCGACCGCGUGAAGGUGUCCAAGGCGGCCACCGACCUGCUGCAGUUCUGCACGGAGCAGGCCAAGAGUGACCCCUUCCUCGUGGGCAU